This 400-nucleotide ribosomal RNA is filed under the name uncultured bacterium. Its description in RNAcentral is "bacterial SSU rRNA". It matches the Rfam family "Bacterial small subunit ribosomal RNA", at positions 356 to 773 of the family's 1533-position model. The record is from RNAcentral.
GGGGAAUAUUGGACAAUGGGGGAAACCCUGAUCCAGCCAUGCCGCGUGAAUGAUGAAGGCCUUCGGGUUGUAAAGUUCUUUUGGCGGGGACGAUGAUGACGGUACCCGCAGAAUAAGCUCCGGCUAACUUCGUGCCAGCAGCCGCGGUAAUACGAAGGGAGCUAGCGUUGUUCGGAAUUACUGGGCGUAAAGGGCGCGUAGGCGGUUCGGCAAGUCAGAUGUGAAAGCCCAGGGCUCAACCCUGGAACUGCAUUUGAUACUGCCGUGCUUGAAUUCGGGAGAGGUGAGUGGAAUUCCCAGUGUAGAGGUGAAAUUCGUAGAGAUUGGGAAGAACACCCGUGGCGAAGGCGGCUCACUGGACCGACAUUGACGCUGAGGCGCGAAAGCGUGGGGAGCAAAC